GACGAACGCUGGCGGCGUGCUUAACACAUGCAAGUCGAACGGGCCCGCCCCUGUUUUUGGGGGUGGGUUGAGUGGCGAACGGGUGAGUAUCACGUGAGUAACCUGCCCCCUGCUCCUGGAUAACUGCUUGAAAGGGCGGCUAAUACGGGGUGUGCCGGCUGGUCCGCAUGGGCCUGGUCGGGAUAGUUUCAUCUUCGGGUGUUUCGGUGGGGGAUGGGCUCGCGGCCUAUCAGCGUGUUGGUGGGGUGAUGGCCCACCAAGGCGGUGACGGGUAGCCGGCCUGAGAGGGUGGGCGGCCAGACUGGGAGUGAGACACGGCCCAGACUCCUGCGGGAGGCAGCAGUGGGGGGUAGUGCACAAUGGGCGGAAGCCAGAUGCAGCGACGGCGCGUGAGGGAUGGAGGCCUUCGGGUUGUGAACCUCUUUCUCCGGUGGUGAAGGCCCUGUCCGUUGCGGCGGGGUUGACGGUAGCCGGGGAUGAAGCGCCGGCUAACUACGUG
Molecule: ribosomal RNA, 499 nt
Filed under: uncultured bacterium
Lineage: Bacteria
Description: partial 16S ribosomal RNA
Rfam family: Bacterial small subunit ribosomal RNA
Source: RNAcentral